This 2857-nucleotide long non-coding RNA is filed under the name Salvia miltiorrhiza (redroot sage). Its description in RNAcentral is "long non-coding RNA (SMIL_LNC000736)". The record is from RNAcentral. Lineage: Eukaryota; Viridiplantae; Streptophyta; Magnoliopsida; Lamiales; Lamiaceae.
GAGUCUUUAGCGACACUGACCACAUCCUACCUCGCCAACCCCCUUCUUCUACUUCAACCUAACCCCAUCUGCUCAACUACAACGUUUCUCAAUUUCCUGCAAAACCCCAUCACCAAUCGCCAAUUUCUCCUCUCAAUUGCUACAAAAACAUCGCAUCAUAGCCAAUGGCGCACGUCGCGAAAAUGGCGCACAAUCUCGCCUCGCCCNAAAUUUAGUAUAGUGAGGAGGCGAUGGAGCAUGUAUAUUUAUAAUUAUAAUAAUAGUAGUGAAAUGUAUAUCUAGAUUGUGUUGUUGGAAGAAUGAGAGGCCCAAUGAGCCCAUUUGGAGAUGUAUAACAAAUUAACAGCUCAAGCAGCCAUAAAAUAAUACUCCUACAUUAGACCUCACCAACCAAACCAUUCUAUUUCUAAUUUUCUAGUGGUUGGUAACUCUGGUUGGUGGCUGCUCUCUCUCCCUCACACACACACACACACACACACAAAGUAGUAGGAGUAGGAGUAUGUACCAACAAGGCUCAAACUAUGGCCUUCAAGAAUACCACUAUUUAACCAACUUAGAAAGCUAAUUUUAAUUUUAUUUUAUAUGGGUGUUACCUUUAAAAAUGUUCCUACCUACUGUUUGUGACAUAAGUUUUUUUUUUGACAAUUGCAUCAAAAUAUAUGAAUUUUUAUAAUUUUUUUUUAUUUUGCACAUAAACUUAAAUUUUUCUGAUUUUACAUACGAUGUAUAUUUUUGGUGAAUGAUUCGUUAAUAUAUUUUUGUAUUAUUGUAGUUGGAUUUACCUAAUGUCCAACUACAUCCUUCAGGAAGAUUUCCGUUUGAACCACGUAGACAGUUUCGAAUUCUACCUCAAUAUUCAUUCGUCGGAAAUGCUCAUUGUGUGCAAAAUUAGAAAGAAAUGAAAGUUCGUAUGUUCAAAAAACACGUGAAAAUUCAUAUACCUUGACAUUAUUACUCCCUUUUAUUUAGAGCUCUUAGAUAUAGCUCUAGUCAUUUACCAGCCGCAGUGACAUAAAUUUUGAUAGAGUUAACCCUUUAACUUAUAACAUAAUGAUUAUCAUGGUGAAUAUUACAACCCAAAUGAAGGUAAUAGAAAAACUAUUCACCAUGACAUAGACAUAUCUAUCAAAAUAAAUUGAUUUUAUAUGUCUCUACUAUCCACAUAUUGCUUUUAAAAUUUUAUGUUAUAGCAAUACUUCACAUGUCUACUACUGAAAUAACAUUAUUUUAUACUGCGUGAUGCAUGUUUGUCGAAUAAAAUACUACUCCUUUUAAUUCAUUAUUCAUUAUUGAAUAAACUCAAGUAUAACAACACUCAUAAAAUCAUAGAAAUGCAAUGCGAUGCUAAUCCCAAUAACAAAUAUUGUUGUCGCCCAUUUGCUUAAGUUGUCUAUUCAUAUUCAAGUGGUGAUCCAAAAUUUUAAAUUCGGACAUACGAUAAAUGAAGAUAUAUAUAAUAAUAAAGAGGUGAGAUACAGAUCACAAACACCACCUUUUUCACUGAUAAGUCGUUCUACGCUCGUAUUUGUAAUGAAAAAAAAAAUUAAAAAGUAAAAAAGAGCAUAGAACUAAAGGAUGAUUUUAAAUUUUUUAGGAAUCAAAAAAUAUUUAAAAUGUUACUAUUAAUUAUAAAAUAUUACUAUAUAAUAUUACAAAUAUUUUUUUGGGGGUACAACGCGCAUGCUUUGAUCAGCCGGUAUUCAUAUUCGAUAAAUGUUUUGAUUUUUUUUUAUUAAAAAAAUAGACAUCCUACAUUCCUACUCUACGGGAUUGUAAUGUUAAUAUAUUUUUGAUAAAGUCUGAGAUAUUUGAAGGAGUGGAAGGAAAUGUGAAUUUAUGUCGAAACAAAAGUAGAUUAAAGUUGGAAAAAUAAUUAAAAUAGUAGUGUUAGAGCAUCCACAACAGAUCUCUCAAAAUUGCACUCUUAAAAAUACUUCUAAAGUCUUCCCUAAAUUAUUUUUAACUCAUACUCCCUCCGUCCGCCAAAAAUGGAGCGCUUUAAUUGGGCACGAGAUUUAAUAAAAUUGGUAAUAAUUUUGAUGUAAUGGAGAAAAUGACUCAUCAUUUCAUGAGAUUUGUGGUUGAGAUUGAAUUUGGAGUGAGUUUUUUUGUAAAUAAAGAGUGUUUGUAAGGUUAAAAGAUUAAAGUGGAUGGUGAGACCAUUUCCUUAAAAGGAAAAUGGUACACUCUUUGCGGACGCCCGAUAUAGUAAUUGUGCCCCACUUUUGACGGACGGAGGAAGUAUUUUUACAAUUGCACACAGCAACUUCAUUAUCUAUUUUAUAAAUUUAGGAUUAGAUUUAAUGGGGUGUAAAUUUAAGAUUAAAUUUGAGGGGAUGUGAAUUUUUUUGUGGGCCCAACUUAAUAUAGGUGAUCUGUUGGAUGAUCAUUUUAUCUCACUUUUUAUUAUUUAGCUUAAAUUUAAAGUUAUAAUUACUUUUGAGAGAUCUGUGGGUGUGUUGAUCAAUCAAUAAAUGGGUUACCUAAAAUUAAAGAUUUGGUGUUCAAGUUUAUUAUGACACAGAUUUUAAAUUUCUUUAUUUAAUAUUAUUGUUAAUCUAUCUUUUUUUUAAAAAAGAAGAAGAAAUACAGCACGUUUGAAAGACAAAGGUGGUUGGUGAAGGCACCAGAGUCUUUAGCGACACGACCACAUUCUACCUCGCCAACCCCCUUCUACUUCAACCUAACCCCAUCUCCUCAACUACAACGUUUCUCAAUUUCCUGCAAAACCCCAUCACCAAUCACCAAUUUCUCCUCUCAAUUGCUCAAAAACAACCACAUCAUAGCCAAUGGCGCACGUCGCGAAAAUGGCGCACAAUCUCGCCUCGCCCAAAUUCACCACCCCUACAGCUAAAUC